Molecule: transfer RNA, 72 nt
Filed under: Camelus bactrianus (Bactrian camel)
Lineage: Eukaryota; Metazoa; Chordata; Mammalia; Artiodactyla; Camelidae
Also listed under: 2 other names
Rfam family: tRNA
About the family: Transfer RNA (tRNA) molecules are approximately 80 nucleotides in length. Their secondary structure includes four short double-helical elements and three loops (D, anti-codon, and T loops).
Source: Rfam by way of RNAcentral
GAGGGCAUAGCUCAGUGGUAGGGUGCAUGCUUAGCAUGCAUGAGGUCCUGGGGUCAAUCCCCAAUACCUCCA